CCUGCUGCGUGAUUAACGGGCUCUUUGUUUUAUGUUUCUGUGGUUUUGAAAAUGGUUCUAUGUAGUACCCAAAGGGGUUCUUCUGUUGUUACAAGCUUGACCUCGCAAUAAUAGAACCCUUUUGGGUGCUAUAUAGAACCCUUUUCAAAAAGGCUCUAUGUAGAACCAUCUAAAGUACCUUCACCAUCAGUCUGAGGAGCCCUUUCAUGAAGGAAAGAACCUUUAAUCAUGCAGCAGGGUCUUUAAGGGUUUGUGGUUCUGUGGAAAACCGUUUUCUUUACUAAAAAGCCCUUGAAGAGCUUUAAGAGCGUAAUUUUAAGUGAGCAGCAGCUUUUUCCCGUGUUUUUGUAGAGCGGUGUUGUUUGAGCCGAGUGGUUUAGCCGCGGGGUUUACGCAGUGCUGAUUGGUGGGGUAUAAGCUUCUCUUGCUUUUUAGGUGUAUUAGGCGUUUAGUUCGUCAGACGCAGCUGAUCAGGUGAGAGGAACGUUGUGUGGUUUAGGUCUGUUUGCCAGCGCCAGCUUUAUACCGUAUAUGUGUUCUUAUGUGCCUUAAACACUCCAUGUCCAGACUAACAAUAGCGCAGCUUAUCCAGGACUGAAGGCUUUGCAGCAAGAGUUUUAAUCAAUGCUCGUUUUUGUCUGAUGUGUUUUCUCUGCUUUUAAGGUGACAGUAGAAGGGAUGUGGGAGGCGGACCAUGGGUUAGGCUCUCAGGGCCAGACUUGAUCUCGUGACGAGAACACAUGUGGGGACAACUUGAACUUUUGGUGCUGGAUUGUGGCUGCUAACGAAGGGAGCUUUUCAGCCUAGUUCUCCUCAGAGAAGAAAUCCCAGCAACAGCAGCACAACAGGAAGCACUGCGAUUCCCAACACGCUCUGUUGUGGUGCCCCUAGACAAGACAGGAACGAGAGACACGGCAGGUCAGACGGCGUGACCGAGAGAAAACCGUAAGUGGAAAUCAUGUUAAAACUGUGACAGUAAAAUUGUGAGAAUCAGACAUUUUUAAGUCCCUUACAGAAACUAACCCCCUCUCCAACUAACUUUUCCCCUCUGGCCCUUCAUCAGUGCUGAUCGUGAAUUUCUUGGUUGAGCUUCAGAUUUUCAGAGGGCUUGUGGAUAUUUCUUUGUCCUUAUUGUACAAGCAAAUCCAUUCAAGCCAGGCAAUAAUUAAUAAACAGUAAACUGGUACACGUGUCCCUCAAGCAUCCCUUACUAAUGAAAGUAUACUUAAAGGUCAUUUUAUUAAGUAAACUUAAGUUCAAGUCUAUUUUUAUAGUACAUAUUAAUACUUUGUGGUAAGUGUACUUACGCUAAUCAGGCCUGACGUUCUGACCACCUCCUUGUUUCUACGCUCACUGUCCAGUUUAUCAGC
Pygocentrus nattereri (red-bellied piranha) is the source of this 1370-nucleotide long non-coding RNA. NCBI's taxonomy places the organism in Eukaryota, Metazoa, Chordata, Actinopteri, Characiformes, Serrasalmidae. The record is from Ensembl.